GGCUCAUUGGUGUAGGGGUAUGAUUCUCGCUUUGGGUGUGAGAGGUCUUGGGUUCAAAUCCUUAACGAGCCC
This is a non-coding RNA of Danio rerio (zebrafish), 72 nucleotides long. NCBI's taxonomy places the organism in Eukaryota, Metazoa, Chordata, Actinopteri, Cypriniformes, Danionidae. The record is from Rfam.